This 277-nucleotide ribosomal RNA is filed under the name Nanos manongorivoensis. RNAcentral's name for it is "partial 28S ribosomal RNA". It matches the Rfam family "Eukaryotic large subunit ribosomal RNA", at positions 678 to 921 of the family's 3401-position model. Lineage: Eukaryota; Metazoa; Arthropoda; Insecta; Coleoptera; Scarabaeidae. The record is from RNAcentral.
GCAUGUGCGCGAGUCAUUGGGACUCUGUUAAACCUAAAGGCGCAAUGAAAGUAAAGGUCCGCCUCGCGCGGACCGAGGGAGGAUGGGCCCGUCCGCGGGCGGGCCCCGCACUCCCGGGGCGUCUCGUUCUCAUCGCGAGAAGAGGCGCACCCAGAGCGUACACGCUGGGACCCGAAAGAUGGUGAACUAUGCCUGGUCAGGACGAAGUCAGGGGAAACCCUGAUGGAGGUCCGUAGCGAUUCUGACGUGCAAAUCGAUCGUCGGAACUGGGUAUAGG